UAGGGAAUCUUCCGCAAUGGGCGAAAGCCUGCCGGAGCAACGCCGCGUGAGUGAUGAAGGUCUUCGGAUCGUAAAACUCUGUUAUUAGGGAAGAACAAAUGUGUAAGUAACUAUGCACGUCUUGACGGUACCUAAUCAGAAAGCCACGGCUAACUACGUGCCAGCAGCCGCGGUAAUACGUAGGUGGCAAGCGUUAUCCGGAAUUAUUGGGCGUAAAGCGCGCGUAGGCGGUUUUUUAAGUCUGAUGUGAAAGCCCACGGCUCAACCGUGGAGGGUCAUUGGAAACUGGACAACUUGAGUGCAGAAGAGGAAAGUGGAAUUCCAUGUGUAGCGGUGAAAUGCGAAGAGAUAUGGAGGAACACCAGUGGCGAAGGCGACUUUAUGGUCUGUAACUGACGCUGAUGUGCGAAAGCGUGGGGAUCAAACAGG
Molecule: ribosomal RNA, 429 nt
Filed under: Actinomycetes bacterium
Lineage: Bacteria; Bacillati; Actinomycetota; Actinomycetes
Description: Actinobacteria bacterium partial 16S ribosomal RNA
Rfam family: Bacterial small subunit ribosomal RNA
Source: RNAcentral